Molecule: ribosomal RNA, 328 nt
Filed under: uncultured Neocallimastigales
Lineage: Eukaryota; Fungi; Neocallimastigomycota; Neocallimastigomycetes; Neocallimastigales
Description: partial large subunit ribosomal RNA
Source: RNAcentral
GUUGUUUUCUCGAAAAUCAAUUAAAAAGUAUGGGAUUUUGUAUUGUUAAGACCUUAUCAGCUUACGGUACUUUUUUCUUAUUCUUUUUAAUGCACUUUUCGUUUAACAAGUCAACAUCAAUUUCUUUUGUUGUAAAAGAGUCAUUGGAAGGUGGCUUUCACUUCGGUGAAAGUGUUUAUAGCCUUUGGCUUCUGCAAUCGGAGAGAUUGAGGUCUGCAGCGUAGAUCCUUCGGGGUUAGAUACGUAGAUGCUAAGUUAUAGUUUUUCAUAGACAACUUGUUGACUAUGAUUAAUCAUGUAGCUUACUCGUUUGCGCUAUUUUACCUAC